Molecule: ribosomal RNA, 253 nt
Filed under: uncultured bacterium
Lineage: Bacteria
Description: partial 16S ribosomal RNA
Rfam family: Bacterial small subunit ribosomal RNA
Source: RNAcentral
UACGGAGGGUGCAAGCGUUAUCCGGAUUCACUGGGUUUAAAGGGUGCGUAGGUGGGCUAGUAAGUCAGUGGUGGAAUCUCCGGGCUUAACCCGGAAACUGCCAUUGAUACUAUCAGUCUUGAAUACCGUGGAGAUGAGCGGAAUAUGUCAUGUAGCGGUGAAAUGCUUAGAUAUGACAUAGAACACCAAUUGCGAAGGCAGCUCGUUACACGAAUAUUGACACUCAGGCACGAAAGCGUGGGGAUCAAACAGG